This 523-nucleotide ribosomal RNA is filed under the name uncultured bacterium. Its description in RNAcentral is "bacterial SSU rRNA". It matches the Rfam family "Bacterial small subunit ribosomal RNA", at positions 777 to 1297 of the family's 1533-position model. The record is from RNAcentral.
AAUAGAUACCCGGGUAGUCCACGCCGUAAACGAUGAGUGCUAAGUGUUAGAGGGUUUCCGCCCUUUAGUGCUGCAGCUAACGCAUUAAGCACUCCGCCUGGGGAGUACGGCCGCAAGGCUGAAACUCAAAGGAAUUGACGGGGGCCCGCACAAGCGGUGGAGCAUGUGGUUUAAUUCGAAGCAACGCGAAGAACCUUACCAGGUCUUGACAUCCUCUGCCAACCCUAGAGAUAGGGCGUUCCCCUUCGGGGGGACAGAGUGACAGGUGGUGCAUGGUUGUCGUCAGCUCGUGUCGUGAGAUGUUGGGUUAAGUCCCGCAACGAGCGCAACCCUUGAUCUUAGUUGCCAGCAUUCAGUUGGGCACUCUAAGGUGACUGCCGGUGACAAACCGGAGGAAGGUGGGGAUGACGUCAAAUCAUCAUGCCCCUUAUGACCUGGGCUACACACGUGCUACAAUGGAUGGUACAAAGAGCUGCGAACCCGCGAGGGUAAGCGAAUCUCAUAAAGCCAUUCUCAGUUCGGA